GCCAGUGUGGUAUAGUGGUUUGAGCAUUGGACUCUGACUCUGGAGAUCAAGGUCUGAAUCCUUGCUUAGCCA
Molecule: non-coding RNA, 72 nt
Organism: Phrynosoma platyrhinos (Desert horned lizard)
Lineage: Eukaryota; Metazoa; Chordata; Lepidosauria; Squamata; Phrynosomatidae
Source: the annotation of a GenBank genome assembly